AACAAAUAUUAAAGGCAACGCCUGCCCAGUGAACAAUUAAACGGCCGCGGUACCCUAACCGUGCAAAGGUAGCAAAAUCAUUUGUCUAUUAACUGUAGACCUGUAUGAAAGGCAAAAUGAGGGUUUAACUGUCUCUUAUAAUUAAUCUAUUAAACUGAUCCCCCAGUAAAAAAGCUGGGAUACCCCCAUAAGACCAGAAGACCCUGUGAAGCUUUAAUUAAACUAUUAAACCCUAUAAUAACUACUUUGGGUUGGGGCGACCUUGGAAACAAGAAAAACUUCCAAAUAUAUACACUAAACACCACAAGGCCCACAAGCCUAUUAAUGACCCAGUAAUACUGAUAAAUGAACAAAGUUACUCCAGGGAUAACAGCGCUAUCUUCUUCAAGAGCCCAUAUCAAAAAGAAGGUUUACGACCUCGAUGUUGGAUCAGGACACCCCGAUGGUGCAGCCGCU
This 456-nucleotide ribosomal RNA is filed under the name Xenochrophis cerasogaster (painted keelback). Its description in RNAcentral is "partial large subunit ribosomal RNA". It matches the Rfam family "Bacterial large subunit ribosomal RNA", at positions 1838 to 2563 of the family's 2925-position model. Lineage: Eukaryota; Metazoa; Chordata; Lepidosauria; Squamata; Natricidae. The record is from RNAcentral.